This 1999-nucleotide long non-coding RNA is filed under the name Elaeis guineensis (African oil palm). RNAcentral's name for it is "long non-coding RNA (EGUI_LNC007691)". The record is from RNAcentral. Lineage: Eukaryota; Viridiplantae; Streptophyta; Magnoliopsida; Arecales; Arecaceae.
GCAACACCAAGCAUACUAAAGAAAUUAAAGAAAUACUAGAAAAAUAAAAUCUUCAAAACCCGAAAAUUAGAAAAGCAGAGAAGAGGAAGAGGAAGAGGAGGCUCAGAUUAACCAAUUUCUGCAAUUAAAUCGAAACGGCUGCAAACGGUUGCCUUCGCAAGAACAAUAGAAGGCCAUCCAAGAUUACCUGACCGUUUGGAAGUGUUGCUGCUUGAAAUCAGUCGAGGUUGGAAAGAGGGCGACUGAGCCCCGCGCAGGAUUGCAGCGCUGGAGCAACCUGGCAAAACAAGUCCAAAUCAGAGGUUGUGGCUCCGACGAGGACCCUCCAACGCUCAAGUCAAAUUCAGAGAACAAUAAAACAGCAACGAGCUCUCUGAAAGGGAUUGAUUGGCUUACUUGAUCCUCGGGACUCCGAUGGUUUAUAUAGAAGGCUGUCGAACAACUGGUUGCAUGGCCGUGAGAACGUGCAAUCCCAAUAUUGCAAGGUGUUGGACAUACUAUUGUGGGCGAAAUAAUUCAGCCUUCAAUCACUCCCGCGAGCUUGGAGGAGCUCGUUAUGCCUUAGUUGAUCCACUCAGAGUGGACAGCUAUCACACACAUCGAAGAAAUAAGUCGACUGAGGCAAUAGGGGCAGCUCAUAUGCUAAAUGGACUGCGUGGGCGCCUCAGUUCUGCAUAACGAUUAGUGGCCGUGGUGGUGACUCGGCAACUUGAAGUAGCCCGCAACACCAUGCUGAUCCGAGCAUUCGCGGUAACCGUCGAUCCGUGGCACUUACGGUAACCACCGUAACAGGAAGAAACCCUAGUUUGCCAUGAAUUCUUUAGAAGUGACACCAACCAUACUAAAUAAAAUCAAAGAAAACGUAGAAAAACAAAAUCUUGAAAAAAACCCAGAAAUUAGUAAAGCAGGGAAGAAGAAGAGGAAGAGGAGGCUCAGAUUAACCAAUUUCUGCAAUUAAAUCGAAUCGGCUGCAAAUGGUUGCCUUCGUAAGAACAACAGAAGGCCAUCCAAGAUUACCUCACCGUUUGCCAUGAAUUCUUCAGCGCAACACCAAGCACACCAAAGAAAUUAAAGAAUUACUAGAAAAACAAAAUCUUGAAAAAAACCUGGAAAUUAGAAAAAAAGCAGGGAAGAAGAAGAGGAGGCUCAGAUUAACCAAUUUCUGCAAUUAAAUCGAAAUGGCUGCAAACAGUUGCCUUCGCAAGAACAACAGAAGGCCAUCCAAGAUUACCUCCCCGUCUGCCAUGAAUUCUUCAGGGGCAACACCAAGCACACCAAAGAAAUUAAAGAAAUACUAGGAAAACAAAAUCUUGGAAAAAACCCAGAAAUUAGAAAAGCAGGGAAGAGGAAGAGGAAGAGGAGGCUCAAGAUUAACCACUUUCUGCAAUUAAAUCGAAACGGCAGCAAACGGUUGCCUUCGCAAGAACAACAGAAGGCCAUCCAAGAUNNNNNNNNNNNNNNNNNNNNAUUUGCCAUGAAUUCUUCAGGGGCAACACCAAGCAUACCAAAGAAACUAAAGAAAUACUAGAAAAACAAAAUCUUGGAAAAAACCCCGAAAUUAGAAAAGCAGAGAAGAAGAAGAGGAGGGCUCAGAUUUACCAAUCUCUGCAAUUAAAUCGAAACGGCCGCAAACGGUUGCCUUAGCAAGAACACAUAAGGCCAACCAAGAUUCCCUCGCCGUUUGAAACCAACCAUUAUCCCACUCGACAAUGCAGCAAAACCCUCAUCCAAAAAUCAUCACAGCCUCCUCAUAUAAGAUCGCAGAGCAAGGAUAAAAGACACAGAGACGAAAGAAAAAUAAGAAAGAGAAAGAAACAUAACUUCACGGACAUUACCCACCAAUAAACAUAAUUUCUCAACAAUGUUGCAAAACCCUCGUCCAAGAAUCAUCACAGCCUCCUCAUAUAAAAUCGUAUAACAAAAAGAAGAAUAAGAUCCUGCAUCCACAGAGACGAGAGAAAAGAAGAAAGAGAAAAAAACAUAACUCCACGGCCAUUAC